CUUCAGCGCGGGGUAGAGCAGUUUGGUAGCUCGCAAGGCUCAUAACCUUGAGGUCACGGGUUCAAAUCCUGUCU
Molecule: transfer RNA, 74 nt
Filed under: Hedera helix
Lineage: Eukaryota; Viridiplantae; Streptophyta; Magnoliopsida; Apiales; Araliaceae
Also listed under: 1 other name
Description: tRNA-fMet
Rfam family: tRNA
About the family: Transfer RNA (tRNA) molecules are approximately 80 nucleotides in length.
Source: RNAcentral